GAUGAACGCUGGCGGCGUGCCUAAUACAUGCAAGUCGAGCGAACCACUUCGGUGGUGAGUGGCGAACGGGUGAGUAACACGUAGGUGAUCUGCCCAUCAGACGGGGACAACGAUUGGAAACGAUCGCUAAUACCGGAUAGGACGAAAGUUUAAAGGUGCUUCUGGCACCGCUGAUGGAUGAGCCUGCGGCGCAUUAGCUAGUUGGUAGGGUAAAGGCCUACCAAGGCGACGAUGCGUAGCCGACCUGAGAGGGUGAACGGCCACACUGGGACGGAGACACGGACCAGACUCCUACGGGAGGCAGCAGUAGGGAGUCGUCGACAAUGGGCGAAAGCCUGACCGAGCAACGCCGCGUGAAUGAUGAAGGCCUUCGGGUUGUAAAAUUCUGUUAUAAGGGAAGAACGACUUUAGUAGGAAAUGGCUAGAGUGUGACGGUACCUUAUGAGAAAGCCACGGCUAACUACGUGCCAGCCGCCGCGGUAA
Molecule: ribosomal RNA, 483 nt
Filed under: uncultured bacterium
Lineage: Bacteria
Description: partial 16S ribosomal RNA
Rfam family: Bacterial small subunit ribosomal RNA
Source: RNAcentral